This 220-nucleotide long non-coding RNA is filed under the name Nicotiana benthamiana. Its description in RNAcentral is "long non-coding RNA (NBEN_LNC008247)". Lineage: Eukaryota; Viridiplantae; Streptophyta; Magnoliopsida; Solanales; Solanaceae. The record is from RNAcentral.
UUUGUUAGCCCCUAAUAUUGAGACUUGACGGAUGUCGGGCAGAAUACAUGUCAAGGGCUUGUGCAUUGCCGAUUGACAUGGGUUCGUUGAAGUGUUGGCAAGCAAUGUACAAGGCUGGGCGUGUGUCUAAGUUGGUGAUGGACUUAGGCAAGGCAGCUAGGCAAGGCAGCUUGAGUGUUGGCAAGGAAGCCUUGGUUCGUGGGCAUCGGAAAUGGCAAAC